RNAcentral lists this ribosomal RNA (488 nucleotides) under uncultured bacterium. Its description in RNAcentral is "bacterial SSU rRNA". It matches the Rfam family "Bacterial small subunit ribosomal RNA", at positions 302 to 804 of the family's 1533-position model. The record is from RNAcentral.
GACCCGCCACACUGGGACUGAGACACGGCCCAGACUCCUACGGGAGGCAGCAGUGCCGAAUAUUGGACAAUGGGCGAAAGCCUGAUCCAGCAACGCCGCGUGAGGGAUGACGGCCUUCGGGUUGUAAACCUCUUUCAGCGCCGACGAAGCGAAAGUGACGGUAGGCGCAGAAGAAGCACCGGCCAACUACGUGCCAGCAGCCGCGGUAAUACGUAGCGUGCGAGCGUUGUCCGGAAUUAUUGGGCGUAAAGGCUCGUAGGCGGUUUGUCGCGUCGGGAGUGAAAACUCAGGGCUUAACUCUGAGCUGGCUUCCGAUACGGGCAGACUGGAGGUAUGCAGGGGAGAACGGAAUUCCUGGUGUAGCGGUGAAAUGCGCAGAUAUCAGGAGGAACACCGGUGGCGAAGGCGGAUCUCUGGACCUUUCCUGACGCUGAGGAGCGAAAGCGUGGGGAGCAACAGGCUUAGAUACCCUGGUAGUCCACGCCGUA